Molecule: ribosomal RNA, 377 nt
Filed under: uncultured bacterium
Lineage: Bacteria
Description: bacterial SSU rRNA
Rfam family: Bacterial small subunit ribosomal RNA
Source: RNAcentral
UAAUACAGAGGGUGCGAGCGUUGUCCGGAAUCACUGGGCGUAAAGGGCGCGUAGGCGGCCUGAUAAGUCGGGGGUGAAAUCCUGUGGCUCAACCACAGGGCUGCCUCCGGGACUGUCGGGCUCGAGCACAGUAGAGGCAGGUGGAAUUCCCGGUGUAGCGGUGGAAUGCGUAGAGAUCGGGAAGAACAUCGGUGGCGAAGGCGGCCUGCUGGGCUGUUGCUGACGCUGAGGCGCGACAGCGUGGGGAGCAAACAGGAUUAGAUACCCUGGUAGUCCACGCCGUAAACGAUGGGCACUAGGCGUCGGGGGGAGCGACCCUCCCGGUGCCGUCGCUAACGCAGUAAGUGCCCCGCCUGGGGAGUACGGCCGCAAGGCUG